AAUGACUGACAGAAUCAGUGCACAGGAAAAAGCAGGUCUUGGAAUCUGACAGGUGUAACUUUGAAUUUCAGCUCAGCUCUCUGGGAGUGAGUUCCUUUUGGAGUUGCCGUGUCCUUCUUACUAAGAGCUGGACACUGUCAAGGAGCUUCCUGCACCUCCUCAGAGCUGAGUGGAAGUAGCAAGCUCCCUUGCAUUUCAAAAUGAUUUCUCCGGCUGCUGAAGGGAGGACUGCAAGUUGUAAGAGUAAAAGCUCCGGGGUCAGUGCAUUACCACAGCUGUUUAUACAACAGGCUUUUAAACCCGAGGUUCAAAGGUCCCAGGCUCAAUCCCCAGCAUCGUCAGAAGCCAGAGCUGAGGAGUGUUCUGGUGAAACAACACAAAACAAUCCCACGGGAGCCCUGUUCUUCUCAGAGCAGAAAACGGGAACCUUCUGAGGACAAGGGGACGUAGACCUUAAGGGUCAAGGAGACUCAGAGAGGUCGACUGGGAACACGAGGAAGACUAGAAAAGAAACAAGGCUCCCUGGGGGAUUGUCAGAUGGUAGCAUGAGGAAGCAAGCCCUAAAGGUUAGAGGCACCCAGCUGAGCACACAUAUUACCUAGUGGAAGGACCUGAGUUCAAGUCUCUGGUCCUCACCUGCAAGGGAGGAAAGCUUCAUGAGUGGCGAAGCAAUUCUGCAGGUCUCUCCCCUCCCAUCUUCCCCACCACCCUCAAUACCUCGGUCCUAUUAAAAAACAUCGGAAAAAUAAAAAGGCCUAAAGGUACUUUUCCUUUCCUUAACAAUCUGUUUGACUAUCUUUCCAAACACCUCUUCACUGUAACAGUUCCCUAGGGCCACCAAGGAGCAUGCCUUUAUUUUGUCCCAAAGAGAUCAUAAUGUGAAUGACGCCCCCUGGAGCUGGGCAGAGGCUCUGCUUCUCUCCACUUCCACAGACACCGCUUAGUCCUGCACCUUCCUACCUCUCAGGAAGACCCUGGCCUGGAGGUACCAGUGGGUUUGCUAAAGACAAGGAUGCAUGGCUCCGGAUGAAGCGGCUCAGGGUUGCCAAGCCCCACAGCCCGACUUGCCCGAGUUCUGGCUGGCCCCAGGACCUCAGACCCCUCAGACCCCGCUAUUCCACCCCCUAAACCAGGGCCACGCUCUGAUUGGCUGCCUCCGCCAGCCUCAGUUUAUCCCUCUUGCCCAUUGGCCGGCUUCUCCUGUCUGCCCACAGGCCGCACACUCACCUGGGACUGGCCGGCUUCCUAGAGGCCCCGCUGGGUUGCCUCGUGCCGCCACCAGAUCCUUCCUCAUUAAACAAAUGAAUCACAAUCCUAAUUAAUUUGAGCAACAGAAUUUAUGUAACUAUUCCCAGCAGGAUGUCUGCUCUCUGUCGGUAGUGAGAUUAAUUUUCCUCUCUGGGAAAUUCCAGCCACACUGGUCAAUAAACCUUAAUGAUGACUGAAAUCUUCCAUCUGCCUUUGCUGGGGCAGGUAACCCCUGCUCAUCAGAAGCGUGGCUGGC
Long non-coding RNA from Erinaceus europaeus (western European hedgehog), 1504 nucleotides. RefSeq lists it as uncharacterized. The record is from RefSeq and is a predicted model, not a curated record. The transcript has 4 exons. NCBI's taxonomy places the organism in Eukaryota, Metazoa, Chordata, Mammalia, Eulipotyphla, Erinaceidae.